Molecule: ribosomal RNA, 460 nt
Filed under: uncultured bacterium
Lineage: Bacteria
Description: partial 16S ribosomal RNA
Rfam family: Bacterial small subunit ribosomal RNA
Source: RNAcentral
CCUACGGGGGGCAGCAGUGAGGAAUAUUGGUCAAUGGACGAGAGUCUGAACCAGCCAAGUAGCGUGAAGGAUGACUGCCCUAUGGGUUGUAAACUUCUUUUAUAUGGGAAUAAAACGUUCCACGUGUGGGAUUUUGUAUGUACCAUAUGAAUAAGGAUCGGCUAACUCCGUGCCAGCAGCCGCGGUAAUACGGAGGAUCCGAGCGUUAUCCGGAUUUAUUGGGUUUAAAGGGAGCGUAGGUGGAUUGUUAAGUCAGUUGUGAAAGUUUGCGGCUCAACCGUAAAAUUACAGUUGAAACUGGCAGUCUUGAGUACAGUAGAGGUGGGCGGAAUUCGUGGUGUAGCGGUGAAAUGCUUAGAUAUCACGAAGAACUCCUAUUGCGAAGGCAGUUCACUGGACUGCAACUGACACUGAGGCUCGAAAGUGUGGGUAUCAAACAGGAUUAGAUACCCUUGUAGUC